Molecule: long non-coding RNA, 2431 nt
Organism: Papaver somniferum (opium poppy)
Lineage: Eukaryota; Viridiplantae; Streptophyta; Magnoliopsida; Ranunculales; Papaveraceae
Exons: 3
Source: RefSeq, a predicted model, not a curated record
AAACAUAAUUCUACCAGAUCUCCUGGAUCCAUAAAUUUCACCUUUAAAAUUCUACAUCCAAACCCACCAUUAAAGAAAUUACAUCUUACUUACACCUUUCAUAGGUAAUGAACCGUCUCCCCCACGCCCUUCCUUCCACCGAGAGAACUACCCAUGAUUACCCCCACUUCCUCCCAUCAACAAAAUUAACCCAGCAAACAACCUCCUCAGAGAAAGGAUGAAGAAGCCGGAUGUGAGCUAUGCUCAUGGACAACUGAAUAUCCAGAAAGGUUAAUUACCAUACAAAAAAAAAAUCUAAAAGUGGAUAAAGAAAGAUGUUGUCCAACUGGAGGAAUAAAGACAAAGCAGGGAUCUUUACAUAAAAUGGUUUGGAUACAGGGUUUUUGUGAUUUUGGUUGAUUCGGAGGAAGGGAAGUUCUUUAUCUUCUGUGUUUUUCCGGAAGAGAAUCUUAUGUUUGAUUGUAAAAUCAAUUUUAGGUCAACUAGAAUUGAGUGUUCUAUAUUGUUUGAUUGUUCAUCAAUUUGUAGAUGGUCACUUCUCUUUUUCUAAGGAAAAAAAAAACACUCUUUCGUUGAUAAUAAUUUUGUUAUUAUCGAGGAAAUUGAUUUGUUUGUAACCAAAGUUUAGAUUUUACUCAUUUCUGAUUCUAGGUUUUCCUCAAGAUGAAAAAAGCUGAUGUGAACCUACAAUAGACAAACAGUUUAGUUUCAAAUGAAGGUGGAAUUGGUAUUCCUCAAGAUGAUCUCGAUCAUUUCUAGAAUUCAGAGUUAUGUUAAAUUGAGAUCAUUCUUUGAUUAAUAUAUUGUUUGGAAAAGGAGUCUACUGUGCUGAUAAGGUGAGAAAGAGCGGGAAGUCUCCUUGGAAUAGGUCUAUGAUCUCAAGAAAGCUUCUGUGAGAGAAUUGAUCCUGUAAAUUGUCAUCUAUCUUUAUUUGUGUUCAUGUGUUUCACAUUUACAGGAGUACAUGUAAGCACUCAGUUCUUACAGGCAUAUAUGUGUUUUCACGUGUUUUUGAUGGGAUCUUUGAUUUCUUUCCAAGGUGGAACAAGUGAUGACUUGGAUGUUCCCACCUUUUGUGCUGAAUUUGCAAAGGAACAUGAAGUUUGUCUAUUGUAGGUUCAUUUUCUCUAUUGUAGUUUCAUUUUCUUAUCUGUAACUACUUCCUCCCAUUUGGUUGAUUUCCAUUUCAACAAUUUCAAGUUUGAUUUGGUUUUAUAUUGAAAUUAGUGUAUUGAUUUGUUGAACUAAUUAUGGGAUUUUUGAUUGAAGUGAUGGAGUUAACAAAUUCACUACCAAUUGAGUAGACUGUUGUUUUCCUCUGUGAUCAUCAUCAGCUGUGCAUACAAAUGGAAAAUGAAGAACUAUACUAAUCAACUUUUAUUUCUCUGUUUGUUUUCAGUUAACUUGAAAUUGUCUGAAAAUGAGCAGACCAAUUAUGAUUCCAUGGUUAAUGAAUAUUUUUUCUUUUUUCUCAUUUUCUUACUUUACAAUCAAAUACUAGCAUUUUUUGAUAUGUAAUGGUUUGGUUCAUUAAGUAUUUUCUGUGGCUUCGAAUUUUGAAAUGUUUUAAUAAAGGUCUAAGAUUUUGAAAUGUUUUGGCUGUUACUGCCUGCUGAUUAGAGUUUCGACUAACACUAUCAGAUGUUGAACCAGUUUGGUAAUCUUACUUCUAUUGGCUGUUUCUUAUGCUAGAUAAUCAAUGUUUCUAUUUAUUUACUUUUAGUUUUAUUGAUGCAAUAUCAUCACACAAGGGAGUUUUUUUUUUUUGUGAAGUUGCUCUUACAGAUCAUGCUGCUUCGGUGAUGGAAUAUCAUUACACAAGGACGCCUUAACAGGGGAGUUUUUUUAGUGAAGCUGCUCUUGCAAAUCAUACUGCUGCGUCAAUCCUUCAAUUUCAUAACCAAAUAUAUAAGAACACUGUGUCUCCUAAUAGAGAUUCUAAUGCUGAUUUGAACAAUUUUGUUAUACCUCUAGACAACAGUCAUGCUACAGCUGCAACGGGCACUAUUAGGAUGUUCAUAUAUUUUCUGAAAGUGUUUCUGCUGCCUGAGGGUUUGGAGUUUUCGGAGAAGAAAAGUAAGUAGACAGGGAUAUGGGAAAAUCAUCAUGACUUGGAUGGUUUUUGAGAGAGUGCAUGGAAAUAACGUAAGUGGUCAGACUUCACCAGAGGUUGGGUCUUUUUUCCUCCCUAGGAGCCAAUGCAUCACACUACAAGUACAAGCUAUGAGUUUUUGUAGAUGUACCAAUUUGGUGGUCCAUUAUUUACAUGGUUGGUCCAACAAGAAGUAUAAGAUUAUUAUUUUCGCAACUAAUUUGGUUGUGUUACUUUAUUGGUAGAUAUACUUAGAUCUACCAUGUACAGAUAUUUUACUCAAAUAAAUUUAAGUUAAACGAAAAUCUACUUAAUAGAGAAGUCACAAUAUGUAACUUU